GGGUAGGCGCCGCGUGGGACUCGGGGGCCCGCCACCCCGGCCAGGCUCGGUUGACCCGCGGGCACCGAAGGGUUAAGCGCGCUCCAGCCGCGGGCCUCCCGCUUAACCCCCUCGGUACCGCGGCGUGCUCUCCCCUUCCCCCCGGCGGGGCCCGCGGAUCCCGCCGAGGCCGGGUGCGGAUUAACCGCUCCUCCCCCGGCAUUUCUUCGGGGCGGGGGCCGGGGGACGCUUAGGCUCCCGCGGCUGGCCUCGGCUGUCGGCGUCGUCCUCCCCCGGAGCACACCUGGAGGAGGCCCCGCCCCCUGGGAGCACAGGUGCCGGCGGGCGGUUGUCGCUCGGUUGGCGAGGGGCUCUGCCCGGCUCCCAAACCGCUCCGGAGCCGGGCAGGAGCCCCCCACACACUUUUCCUCGGCUCUUUCCGAUUGCGGGGGAGAUGGGAGAGCCCGGCUGUCUGGAGAGCACUCGCCGCCCCAGGUUUUCCCAGGAAAAGAGACCAACCAGGAUCUCUGAGAAUUUCUUUCCAGGAAGCAAACUUCUGUGAAUCCCACAACCGCAAGGAACUGAAUGCUGCCAACCAUCACUCAAGUUAGAAAACAGGUGCUUCCCUGGUCGAGGCUCCAGAUGAGAACCUAACCCUGGCCAACAGCUUAACUGCAGCCUUGUGAGACUCUAAGCAGAGGACCCAGCUGAGUCAUGCCUGGACUUCGGAACCACAGAAACUAAAAUAAUAAAUAAAUGAAAUUUGAUCGACCAUGUUAAAGGAAAGACGGAAUUAUCCUUCCUGUCUCCAUAGAAAAUGAUAUUCAUUGUCAUGUGAAGAGAGGACCAGAGGAUGCUGCAGGGAAAAAGUCUAAGAGAGGAAAGCAACCCAGAAGGGAAGAUCAUGCUUUAUUUUGUUUGGAACUUUACCAAGAAACCUUCACCAUUUUGGAAAGUCAAAUCACUGACAGCAAUACCGCUAGUUGUAUUUGAUGGUCAAUAAAAAUGACAAAUGAAUGCCAACACCACACAGAGUUGCAGCAUUUGUAGCUGUCACAUUUAUGGUGAUUUUACGUAUAGCUGCAGGUAUCUGAUGACUUUAUAUCUUCUGGUGUAGGUGGGCCUGAGCAUUUACAUAUUGAAAUACAUAUUGUUUUAUAUAAAAUACUUUCCUUUUAUUUCUUUUUUCUGUUACAGUUAAGAUACUAUAUUGAUUUUUAAAAUCAUGUAUGUUAAGUAGAUUAUAUUAUCUCUGAAUUCCAUUUCAGAAUAGUAAAAGAGGAGCUUCAAAUAAAAGAGAAGACAAUAGUAUGGCUGAAAACCACUGAUUAAGUUUAACUGCCUCAUUUCAUAAUAAAGAAACUGAGGCUAUACCUAUUCAAUCUAUACAGGUUACAAAGUCUGUCAAUAACAGUGCUAGGACCAGAACCUAGGACCCCUCUCUGCUUUCAGGGCCCAUAGCACCAGACCAAGCAACUUUCCAAUAUUCUCAGAUAUUACCAAGAAUCUAACCACUGUUAAAAUAGGAAUGCCACAGAGAAAGGGAGGUGAAACAAUGUCCAACAUUAAGACCUACACUUGAAUGGUAUGAUCUUAUUCUUUUUAAGUGGCCCAGAAGUUUAGAGAAUCUUCCUGCCUGGAUCAGACACUGGGAAGAGUGUCAAAGUUGUAAAAGUCAUUAAGAAAGGUUGUGGAGAGAAAGUGACCAAAAAUGCCAAAGACAAACAUCCUCAGCAGCAGUCUUUUGCCAAAGGUUAAUGCUGAGAGUAAUCCUACUGGAGAAGACAUUUCAUGUGCCAUCUGACCUGGCAGUGGCAUUGCCAUGACCAGUGCAUCCCACCCCUGCAGUCUCAGCACCCAUCUGACCUGGAGGCAGGGAAGGAGGGUAAUGUCACUAGUCAUAGGGACUGUCCUAGAAGAAUGGCCAUUGCUAUGACACUUGAGAGAACGCUCAUGUAAAUGGGCUUAAUUCCAACCAUCUUGAGUCAGGCUCAAAAUAUUAAUUUCCUGAGCAUACAGGAUCCUGCCUGGAUUGAAGUGCAAAAAAACAGCUGAGUUUCCCAAGUAACCUAGAAAUCCACACUGAAAAAGGAAGGUAGUUUCUUUCAAACAAUCCAAGGAUUGGCAAUGAGGAUGAAGAAGAGGCCAGACCCGCCAUUCAAGCAUGAGUAGCUUAAUUCUGGUACGUUUUCAAGAAUCAGGAAAACCAACCAUAAAAUUAGCUUCAAUAGAUAAUAUUAUACAUGCAUGUGUGUAAAACCACACUUUUAUCCCCCCACCAUUACCACCCCAAACCAGCUCUUCCUUCUAUUUCCAUCCAGGGUACCAUUAUUCUUAUAAACUCAAAACCUCAGCCUUUAGACUAUACCUGGUCCCUCACUCUGUACAUUCAAUCAGUUGCUAGAUUUCCUCUGAAACUUUCUUAUGUCCCAGUUUUGUACUCUUUCUGCUACUAGUUUAAGCCUCAUGCUCUUUCGCCUGAAUACCAUAGGAACUGCCUAACCUGUCUUUCUCCCUUUUCUCCAUUUGUCUUGCCAGGUAAGGAUCCUAAAGGGCAGGACCAAUUAUAUCAUUCCAUCCACACAUUUAUUUGCUCAUUCUUUCUUUCAUUCAUGCAUCAAAUACUUGGACCAUUAUGUGCCAGGCAAUUGGAAUACACUGGUGAGUGUGUCACAGCCCCCCCUGAAGGAGCUUCCCACCUGGAGAUGGAUACAGAAAAUUCAGCAAGUGUUAGAGUUCGGAGAGAUGGGUGGUAUGACAGGGUGACCAUGGGGGAGGGGGCACCCUGCACCAGGGUCCAACUCAGUUAGGGGACAGGGAAGACCUUUGGAGGAAAUGAUAGGUGAAACCUCAAGAAUAAGUUAGCGUGGGCCAUAAAUAAAGGGAUGGGAGAGAAGGUGGAGACACAGAGGCAAUAGAACAGGGAGUCUUGGUGAACAGCAAGUAGCUCAUCAUUUCAGUGGGUGUGUACCUGCAAGUGGAUGUAGAAGGAAUAAGCUAAAAAGACCACUGGAGGGAGGAUCAAGGGUAUUAUAAACUCUGCUAAAACUCUUCAAAUACUUACCAAAUUAAAUGCCCUUUCCUCAUCCUGGCACUCAAGGCUCUAUCCACUGUGACUUGGUCUACCUCCUGGUCUUCUUUCCCGCUCUCUAGACUUUUAUUCUGACACUGACUGUUCUAUGAUGAGGCUUAUACGUCUUCCCUCUUCCUCUCUCCUCGGUCACCCUAACCUUGGCAUUGGUUCUCAAAACACACACACACACACACACACACACACACACACAUAUACAUCCCAAAGGUGGGCCUCACUUUAAGAAAAUUCAAUAUGGGAAAUCCAGGAGUGGUAAAUAGGUAUAUAAUAGGUUGAGGAAAGACAGGAUAAAUCACGCCUCAACGUACUCAAAGUUAAUCACAGUGAUUCUAAGUAGCAGUUCUUGAGUAUAUGACAGUGUUAUCUUAUAUGCCAUGAACAGCUUUACAAAGUCCCUGAGCUAGAGGGAAAAAACUUAAAGCUUCAUAUGUAAGGAACUACUUUUGAAUCAAAGACAAAUUAGAAAUAAAGAUAGUCAUCUCUCUUCUCUGAAUGGGAAUCAAGAAGAAAGUCACAUUCUAUUUACUGAAAUUCAUCUUACACAUCACUUUUUAGAAAUGUAUUUCUUGCAAAAGUAAAAUAGACUUGAAUUAUUCACUAAAAAACUAGCUAAAUAAAUAAAUAAUUCACUAAUACCUUCACUCAUCCAACAUUUACUGGAUACAUCCAUGUGCCAGGCAGUACAGUACACAGAAGGGAUAGAGGCUUGAAUAAGGUGAGCUUUGAGAGUAUAUUAUUUGGUAGGAAAAGAGUCCCAUAUCAGAAAAUACAAUAGGCGCUAACACUGACCUUGGCAGCCUGUAAGGGUCAAGCAGGAGCCAUUUCAGAUGAGAUGGUGAAAUCAUAGGGUGGGGGUGGGGGGAAGUAUCUGAAGUUCAGAUCAUAGUUCUGACUCUGCCAGUAAGUUACUAUAUGGUUUUAGGGCAAAACACAUACAAUUUGGGCCCCAAUUUCUCCACCUAUAAUGUGAGGGAGUGGAUCAGUUGAUUCUGAAGUCCCUUUAAUCCAAUAGCAAUCAAAACUGAGAAUAAUUAUCAGAGGCUUGGCUUUGAACAGUUGGUAGACCAGUGAAUAUGCAAGUAACUAAGGAUGAUCACUGGAGUGCAGAAGGGGACGAUGAUACUGUGUUUGAUGUGAUCAUGUGUGUACACAGGAUGGAACAUGAACAUGAUGAAGAGAUGAAGAAACUGAAGCAUCACAAAAUUAAAUGCCCAAGAUGAUACCACAGUUCUGCUGUAAAAUGCACAGAUAAUUUGCAUGAGGUUGUUUACUAUAUUACUCUCUAAUUGGUCUCCACUUGUUCUCCAAAAUGAGUGAUUUAUUUAGAACUUACAUGUAUUGAUAGAUAACCAACAAGGACCUACUGUGUAGCAUGGGGAAUGCUACUCAAUAUUCUGUGAUAACUUAUAUGAGAAAAGAAUCUAAAAAGGAAUGAAUGUAUGUAUUAUAUAUGUAUAACUGAAUCACUUUGCUGUACACCUGAAACUAACACAACA
Molecule: long non-coding RNA, 4566 nt
Organism: Globicephala melas (long-finned pilot whale)
Lineage: Eukaryota; Metazoa; Chordata; Mammalia; Artiodactyla; Delphinidae
Source: RefSeq, a predicted model, not a curated record